This 4364-nucleotide long non-coding RNA is filed under the name Gossypium barbadense (sea-island cotton). RNAcentral's name for it is "long non-coding RNA (GBAR_LNC013068)". Lineage: Eukaryota; Viridiplantae; Streptophyta; Magnoliopsida; Malvales; Malvaceae. The record is from RNAcentral.
UCCCUGAGCUCUGGUACUCAUGGCGCAACCAGAUCAACGGUUUAGCCGCCCUCGGCUACCGUGCUUUGGCGCCCGACCUCCGCGGUUACGGCGGAACAGAUGCACCAGAUUCCGUCGCCGAUUACACUUGCUGCCACGUGGUGGGAGACCUCAUCGCGCUUCUGGACACGGUGGCGCCGCAGGAGAAGGAGGAUAAGGUGUUUGUCGUUGGGCACGAUUGGGGUGCCAUCAUUGCUUGGUACUUGUGCUUGUUUAGACCGGACCGGGUUAAAGCUUUGUACAAUUUGAGUGUGCCAUUUAUUCCUUAUGAUCCUCGGUUUAAACCGGUCGAGACUUGGAAAGCUUUCUAUGGGAAGGAUCACUACAUCGUCCGGUUUCAGGUUCGAAAUUUUUUUAUUAUUAUUAACCAAAACUCUAUUAAAAGAAAUUUAAAUUUUGAUUUAAUGGAUAAAAUUCAUAUUUUAAUAUUUAAUAUUAAUCGGUUGGAUCUGUUAAAUCAAUUUUGAUUUUUUAUAGUAGAUUGUUAAAAUUUGAUUAAAUUGAUUUGAUCGAAAAUCGAUUAAUAUAUUAAUUUAGAGAAAGAAAUUAAUUGAACUUUGAAUCGGGAUAAAUCAAGAUAAAAUUUGAUUGCGCCAACAAUUAAACCAAAUUUUAUAUUUUUAAUUUUUAAUUUUUAAAAAAAAAUGAAUUUUAAUAAUGUAUUUAAUUGAAAUUAGAUCAAUGAUCGAACUGAGAAUGGAUAGUUUGACGAGUUUAAUAAUUAAAAAAUAUUAACAAAUAGUAAGUCGGUUUUUGUUUUUGUUAAUAUUAUAUGUUACAUAUAUUAUAUAAUAAAUAUAUUUAAAAAUUUGAAAUAUAUAUUAAAAUCAAUUAAGUUGAUGGGUUGAAUUACGAAAAAUUAAAAUUUAUAAUAAAUUAACAUGGUUCAAAAUAUCAUAAUAGUAAAAAUUUUAACUUUUAUCAUUUAUUUUGUAUAUUAUUUUUAUAAUAUAUUUAUUACAUAAAUUUAUAAAAAUAUAAUUAUAAAAAAUAUUUUACUGAAUUAGUACCAUGAUCGAAAAAUUAUCAAAAAAAUUAUUUUUUAAAAAGUAAAUUAUAUAAAUAUAAGAGUGUUUGGUUUUUUUUUUACUUUUUAUAAAUUAAUAAAAGAUUAUUAAUAAUAAAAUAUAAUGGGUGUCAUGAAGGAAGGCCUAACUAUAAAACAUAGAUCUUUAAAAUUUUAGGAAAUUUCGAGUUAGUUACAGUAAUAAAAUUGCACUUUGAUGUUUCAAAAAUUUAUGCUAAUUUUUUAGCUUUGCUCUUGGAUGUUUUGAUUGAUGUGAUCAGAAUUAGCGGCACAAACUGGAAUUUCAACCGGUGCCGAGUUGGACUGACUACAUUGCUUUAGAUUAUUAACCUUUUAUUGACAAAUUAAAUUGAGUCGAGUUCAUAUUAGAGUUCGUACGUAUUCAAUUUUCAGAUUUGGGUUAAAAUUGAGAUCUGUGUUACAUUGGUGCAGGAACCUGGAGUAAUGGAAGCAGAGUUUGCAGAGAUUGGUGUAGGACGAGCAGUUUUGGAGCUGUUAUCGUAUCGGGUACCCGACCCACUUUAUUUACCAAAGGGAAAUCUAUUCGGGCAACCACUAGAUUCUCCGGUUAACUUGCCGCCAUGGCUGUCGGAGAAAGACGCGGAUUACUAUGCCACCCAAUUCCAAAUAACCGGCAUCACCGGUGCCCUCAAUUAUUACCGCAACUUUGAUCGGUGUGUUUUUCUUUCUUUAUUUUUUUCGAUAAAAAGAAUCAGUUUACUUUUUAAUCAACUUGUAGGGAUUAAUUUGAGGAACAAAAUGGAAUCUAACUCCUAUAUUAGGAUCUCCAUGAUAGUGUUACCUAUUUCACAUUUUGAUUGGUUUUGUUAUAGAAACUGGGAACUAUCUGCACCAUGGUGGAAAAGCCAGAUCAAGGUACCUGUAAAGUUUGCAAUGGGGGACCUUGAUCUUGUGUAUACAAUGCCUGGUAUGAAGGAUUAUAUUCACAACGGUGGGUUCAACAGGGAUGUGCCCUUUCUUGAAGAAGCUCUUGUCAUCAAUGGAGUUUCUCAUUGGAUCCACCAAGAAAUACCUGAUCAAAUCAAUCAAUUAUUGUUCGACUUCUUCUCCAAGUUCCAUUAAAUUUAAAUAAUAAUAAUAAUAAUAUCAAAUUUAGUAAAAAUAGGAAAAAAAAAACCAUGUUGUACCUUUGUUGUUUUUAUUUUUUAAGUCCAAAUGUUGGUUCGAUUUGAGAGGAUUAAAAUAAAAAUAUUAGAUAUAAAAAACAGUUUUGGGUAAAAAUAUUAAUUUUGUUUAAAAUAUAAAUCAGGUUUAGGCUUGAUCUUUCGAGGUUUGAAUUCUUUAUUAAGGUUGUAAUAUAUUGUUGCUUCUAUAUAAGAUAUAAUAUGGUUAUUUAUAAAUAUGGAUGAACUUGAAUAAAAUUUUAAGUUUAUAUUUUGAAUUAGAUUAAACUUAAGCAAGCAUAAAAUAUAAUAAUAUUACAUUAAAUUUUGCUUAACUCAUAAACUCAUGAACAUAAACAAUUCUGUUUUAAUUAUUAUUAUUUUUAACAAAAAUUAUUAAUUUUUUGUUGAAAGUAAAAAGUAUUUUAAUAGAAUUUAUUUCAUACAAUGUAAAUAAACCGCUUAAAUUACGUGAUAGAUUCAUAUGGUAAUACACGUUUAUGUUAGUAAAAUUAAUAAAUAUUUAUUUAUUUUAGAUAGUUUGAUUACUAACACAAAUUAAGAACGAAAGAGGUAAACCAAUAAAAUCGAGAUUACGAUGUAUCAUAUUUAUUAUUUUGAUGGUAGGAAAAGUAUUUCAGAUAACAUGAUAAAAUGAUGGGACUGUCUAAAACAUGUGAGACCCACUAAUUAGCAGCAACUUCCGCCCGUGUGUUGUUGAUUUGCUGUAAAUGAUUGUCAUUUUGAAGACGAAAACUAACCGUCUUGAUGCAGUUGCGUAGCUUGACAAUGUCAUUUGGGUCGACAAGGGAGCAGGCCGUUCCAUAACCAUAACUAUAACCAUAAUCUCCUUUCCUGCAUGAUAUGUGAAUGUUGUUUUAUCUUGAUUAGAUCAAUUAGAUCAAGGAUAGGUUAGAGUAUUAAUUUAGAAAAUGACUUUAAAUCGAUUAAAUUAAAAAUUGUUCGUUCAAUUGAAAUUUUUAAAAUUUUUAAUUUGAAUUUGAGUUGAUGAACCGAUAGCUUGACCAAUUUUACUUAGACCUGUCCAUUGGUUGGAUCAGGUCUUGAAAAAAUUUUAGACCUUUAGAUAGACCCAGGUUUGGUCUGACCCGAUCCAAAAAUUGGAUUUAAAAUUUUAUCUAAAUCUGACCUGGAUAAAAAUACUAAAAUUUGGACCUAAUCCGGCUCGACUCGUAUUAAUUUUUUUUAUAAUUUUUAAAAAUAUAUAUAAUACAUCAACAAUACUAAAAAAUUAAAAUAAAUAUUUCCCAACAAAUUAAAAAUAAAUUUAAAAACUUUGUACUUAAAUAACACUAUGAUAGGUUAAUAAGUAAAUGCCUCUAAAGUUGUAGUAAAAUUAAUAAUAAAAUAAGAGAUAUAAUAUUCAAACAAUGAAAUGACAACAAAACAGUGAAAAAAACAAAAAAGGUAGUAGAAAAACAAGAAAAUAGUAGAUUCUUUUUUCUUUUCGCAAAUUCGAGCCGGGCCGGACCGAUGCAAAAGAUAUCUUAUCGAAAGCCCAGCCUAUUUUCUAAGCAGAUCAUUUUUUUUGUCUAAACUUAUUUUUUCAACUUAUAUUUUUACUCCACUGUACACUUCUCGGAUUAACCUUCAUAAGCGCAACCUCUAUACUGUUAUAGUUUUUUUUAAAAAAAAAAACCGGUUUAAAAAACAUUGAUAUUUCAAUUUAAAACAACAUUAGGUUUAUUAUUAUAUAUAACGAAAAGCUUAAGCUUAAGCUUAAGAAAGUGAUAGACAUUGAAGAAGAGAUGAAAAGUAUGGAGGGAAUUCAACACAAAACAGUGAGCGUCAAUGGCAUCAACAUGCACAUAGCCGAGAAAGGGGAAGGUCCUUUGAUUCUCUUCAUCCAUGGCUUCCCUGAGCUCUGGUAUACAUGGCGCCACCAGAUCAACGGUUUAGCUGCCCUCGGCUACCGUGCUUUGGCGCCCGACCUCCGUGGUUACGGUGGAACCGAUGCGCCGGAUUGCGUCGCCGAUUACACUUGCUUCCACGCGGUGGGAGACCUCAUCGCGCUUCUGGACAUGGAGGCGCCGCCGGAGAAGGAGGAUAAGGUGUUCGUCGUAGGACACGAUUGGGGUGCCAUCAUUGCUUGGUUCUUGUGCUUGUUUAGGCCGGACAGGGUUAAAGCUUUGUUCACUUUGAGUGCGCCGUUU